AUACGUAGGGGGCAAGCGUUAUCCGGAAUUAUUGGGCGUAAAGAGUACGUAGGUGGUUUCCUAAGCGAGGGGUUUAAGGCAAUGGCUUAACCAUUGUUCGCCCCCCGAACUGGGUUACUUGAGUGCUGGAGGGGCAAGCGGAAUUCCUAGUGUAGCGGUGAAAGGCGUAUAUAUUAGGAGGAACACCAGUGGCGAAGGCGGGUGUCUGGUCAGUAACUGACACUGAGGUACGAAAGUGUGGGGAGCAAACAGGAAUAGAUACCCUGGUAGUCCACACCGUAAACGAUGAGCACUAGGUGUUGGGGUCGCAAGAACUCGGUGCCGCAGUUAACGCAUUAAGUGCUCCGCCUGGGGAGUACGUACGCAAGGAUGAAACUCAAAGGAAUUGACGGGG
This 394-nucleotide ribosomal RNA is filed under the name uncultured bacterium. Its description in RNAcentral is "partial 16S ribosomal RNA". It matches the Rfam family "Bacterial small subunit ribosomal RNA", at positions 523 to 918 of the family's 1533-position model. The record is from RNAcentral.